Molecule: transfer RNA, 72 nt
Filed under: Camelus bactrianus (Bactrian camel)
Lineage: Eukaryota; Metazoa; Chordata; Mammalia; Artiodactyla; Camelidae
Also listed under: 2 other names
Rfam family: tRNA
About the family: Transfer RNA (tRNA) molecules are approximately 80 nucleotides in length. Their secondary structure includes four short double-helical elements and three loops (D, anti-codon, and T loops). Further hydrogen bonds mediate the characteristic L-shaped molecular structure. tRNAs have two regions of fundamental functional importance: the anti-codon, which is responsible for specific mRNA codon recognition, and the 3' end, to which the tRNAs corresponding amino acid is attached (by aminoacyl-tRNA synthetases). tRNAs cope with the degeneracy of the genetic code in two manners: having more than one tRNA (with a specific anti-codon) for a particular amino acid; and 'wobble' base-pairing, i.e. permitting non-standard base-pairing at the 3rd anti-codon position.
Source: Rfam by way of RNAcentral
AGGGUAAUAGCUCGGUGGUGGAGUGCAUGCUUAGUUUGCAUGAGGUCCUGGGUUCAAUCCCCAGUGCCUCCA